This 67-nucleotide transfer RNA is filed under the name Aposthonia borneensis. RNAcentral's name for it is "tRNA-Tyr". It matches the Rfam family "tRNA". From Rfam's summary of the family: Transfer RNA (tRNA) molecules are approximately 80 nucleotides in length. Their secondary structure includes four short double-helical elements and three loops (D, anti-codon, and T loops). Lineage: Eukaryota; Metazoa; Arthropoda; Insecta; Embioptera; Oligotomidae. RNAcentral also lists the same sequence under 1 other name. The record is from RNAcentral.
AAAAAGAUGGCCGAGAUUUAAGGUGAUAAAUUGUAAAUUUAUUUAUAAAUAUUUAAUUUUCUUUUUA